Molecule: ribosomal RNA, 220 nt
Filed under: uncultured bacterium
Lineage: Bacteria
Description: partial 16S ribosomal RNA
Rfam family: Bacterial small subunit ribosomal RNA
Source: RNAcentral
CGGCGUGCUUAACACAUGCAAGUCGAACGAUGAUGCCAGCUUGCUGGUGGAUUAGUGGCGACUUGGAGAGUAACACGUGGGUGAUCUGCCCCAAACUUUGGGAUAAGCCUGGGAAACUGGGUCUAAUACCGGAUAGUACCUUCCCUUGUCUGCGGGUCGGUGGAAAGCUCCGGCGGUUUGGGACGGGCCCGCGGCCUUUCAGCUUGUUGGUGGGGUAAUG